Molecule: ribosomal RNA, 250 nt
Filed under: uncultured bacterium
Lineage: Bacteria
Description: partial 16S ribosomal RNA
Rfam family: Bacterial small subunit ribosomal RNA
Source: RNAcentral
GACGAACCGUGCGAACGUUGUUCGGAAUCACUGGGCUUAAAGGGCGCGUAGGCGGGCUAUCAAGUCCGGGGUGAAAUCCUCCAGCUUAACUGGAGAACGGCCUCGGAUACUGAUGGUCUCGAGGAGGAUAGGGGCACACGGAACUGUGGGUGGAGCGGUGAAAUGCGUUGAUAUCCAUAGGAACUCCGGUGGCGAAAGCGGUGUGCUGGAUCCUUUCUGACGCUGAGGCGCGAAAGCCAGGGGAGCAAAC